UCUCCGUUGGUGAACCAGCGGAGGGAUCAUUACCGAGUUUACAACUCCCAAACCCAAUGUGAACCAUACCAAACUGUUGCCUCGGCGGGGUCACGCCCCGGGUGCGUCGCAGCCCCGGAACCAGGCGCCCGCCGGAGGGACCAACCAAACUCUUUUCUGUAGUCCCCUCGCGGACGUUAUUUCUUACAGCUCUGAGCAAAAAUUCAAAAUGAAUCAAAACUUUCAACAACGGAUCUCUUGGUUCUG
This 246-nucleotide unclassified non-coding RNA is filed under the name Trichoderma atroviride. Its description in RNAcentral is "partial contains small subunit ribosomal RNA, internal transcribed spacer 1, and 5.8S ribosomal RNA". RNAcentral also lists the same sequence under 2 other names. The record is from RNAcentral. Lineage: Eukaryota; Fungi; Ascomycota; Sordariomycetes; Hypocreales; Hypocreaceae.